RNAcentral lists this ribosomal RNA (426 nucleotides) under uncultured bacterium. Its description in RNAcentral is "bacterial SSU rRNA". It matches the Rfam family "Bacterial small subunit ribosomal RNA", at positions 356 to 772 of the family's 1533-position model. The record is from RNAcentral.
GGGGAAUUUUUCGCAAUGGGCGAAAGCCUGACGAAGCAACGCCGCGUGGAGGAUGAAGGCCCUCGUGGUCGUAAACUCUUGUCUAGCGGGACGAAAGGGUUGGGGGUGAAUAAUCCCAGACAUUGACUGUACUGCUGGAGGAAGCUCCGGCCAACUCUGUGCCAGCAGCCGCGGUAAUACAGAGGGGGCUAGCGUUGUUCGGAAUUACUGGGCGUAAAGCGCACGUAGGCGGCUUUGUAAGUUAGAGGUGAAAGCCCGGAGCUCAACUCCGGAAUUGCCUUUAAGACUGCAUCGCUAGAAUUGUGGAGAGGUGAGUGGAAUUCCGAGUGUAGAGGUGAAAUUCGUAGAUAUUCGGAAGAACACCAGUGGCGAAGGCGACUCACUGGACACAUAUUGACGCUGAGGUGCGAAAGCGUGGGGAGCAAA